GUUUUAAUAUUUUAAAAAAAAUAAUGACUUUGUAAGUCAAAAUUAAGAACUUUCUUUUAAAACA
Molecule: transfer RNA, 64 nt
Filed under: Parafagocyba longa
Lineage: Eukaryota; Metazoa; Arthropoda; Insecta; Hemiptera; Cicadellidae
Description: tRNA-Thr
Source: RNAcentral